This 386-nucleotide ribosomal RNA is filed under the name Blastocystis hominis. RNAcentral's name for it is "SSU rRNA". It matches the Rfam family "Eukaryotic small subunit ribosomal RNA", at positions 557 to 953 of the family's 1831-position model. Lineage: Eukaryota; Bigyra; Opalinata; Blastocystidae. The record is from RNAcentral.
AAGUCUGGUGCCAACAGCCGCGGUAAUUCCAGCUCCAAUAGCGUAUAUUAACGUUGUUGCAGUUAAAAAGCUCGUAGUUGAAGUGUGGGUGAUCGCUGUUGUGAGACUUCGGUCUCUCGACAGUAAGUCACCCCCUUCCAGUAUCCAGUAGUGGGUAUUCACUUACUUACUACUGUGUGUUGGUCGUUUACUGUGAGAAAAUUAGAGUGUUCAAAGCAGGCGUUUGCUUGAAUAGAUUAGCAUGGAAUAAUAAUUGAAGGCUUUCGUGUUCGAUUUGAUUGGUUUGUUCAUGGAAGCAAGGUUAAAAGGAACAGUUGGGGGUAUUCAUAUUCACUAGUUAGAGGUGAAAUUCUCGGAUUUAUGGAAGAUGAACAAGUGCGAAAGCA